Molecule: transfer RNA, 84 nt
Filed under: Ruminococcus sp. CAG:9
Lineage: Bacteria; Bacillati; Bacillota; Clostridia; Eubacteriales; Oscillospiraceae
Description: transfer RNA-Ser(CGA)
Rfam family: tRNA
About the family: Transfer RNA (tRNA) molecules are approximately 80 nucleotides in length. Their secondary structure includes four short double-helical elements and three loops (D, anti-codon, and T loops). Further hydrogen bonds mediate the characteristic L-shaped molecular structure. tRNAs have two regions of fundamental functional importance: the anti-codon, which is responsible for specific mRNA codon recognition, and the 3' end, to which the tRNAs corresponding amino acid is attached (by aminoacyl-tRNA synthetases). tRNAs cope with the degeneracy of the genetic code in two manners: having more than one tRNA (with a specific anti-codon) for a particular amino acid; and 'wobble' base-pairing, i.e. permitting non-standard base-pairing at the 3rd anti-codon position.
Source: RNAcentral
AUGUACCCAAGAGGCUGAAGGGACCGCACUCGAAAUGCGGCAGGCCGGGCAACCGGUGCGAGGGUUCAAAUCCCUCCAUCUCCG